This 31-nucleotide non-coding RNA is filed under the name Rattus norvegicus (Norway rat). The record is from RNAcentral. Lineage: Eukaryota; Metazoa; Chordata; Mammalia; Rodentia; Muridae.
UGGAAUUAGGGAGCAAACCAUGUACUGAAGU